Molecule: ribosomal RNA, 462 nt
Filed under: uncultured bacterium
Lineage: Bacteria
Description: partial 16S ribosomal RNA
Rfam family: Bacterial small subunit ribosomal RNA
Source: RNAcentral
GAUGAACGCUGACAGAAUGCUUAACACAUGCAAGUCAUUGGCCAAGCUGCGCUUGCGCAGUCUAGCCAAGGCGGACGGGUGAGUAACGCGUAAGGAACUUGCCCUGCAGACAUGUAUAACAGGCGGAAACGACUGAUAACACCCGGUAUUGUCAGACUGCCUCCUGCCGGCCUGAUGAAAGGGGACGCUGAAGGAGAGCCUUGCGUCCUAGUAGCUAGUUGGUGGGGUAACGGCCCACCAAGCCGAGGAUACGUAGCAGGCUUGAGAGGGUGAACGGCCACAAGGGGACUGAGAGACGGCCCUGACGACUACGGGAGGCAGCAGUGGGGAAUAUUGGACAAUGGGGGCAACCCUGAUGCAGCAAUUCUGUGUGCACGAAGAAGGUUUUGGGAGUGAAAAGUGCUUUCAGCAGGGAAGAAGAAAGUGACGGUACCUGCAGAAGAAGCGACGGCUAAAUACGUG